RNAcentral lists this non-coding RNA (23 nucleotides) under Arabidopsis thaliana (thale cress). Lineage: Eukaryota; Viridiplantae; Streptophyta; Magnoliopsida; Brassicales; Brassicaceae. The record is from RNAcentral.
GUACUAUCAUCGGAGGACUCUUC